This 520-nucleotide ribosomal RNA is filed under the name uncultured Sphingobacterium sp. RNAcentral's name for it is "bacterial SSU rRNA". It matches the Rfam family "Bacterial small subunit ribosomal RNA", at positions 9 to 523 of the family's 1533-position model. Lineage: Bacteria; Pseudomonadati; Bacteroidota; Sphingobacteriia; Sphingobacteriales; Sphingobacteriaceae. The record is from RNAcentral.
GAGUUUGAUCUUGGCUCAGGAUGAACGCUAGCGGCAGGCUUAAUACAUGCAAGUCGAGGGGCAGCAUAAGUAGCAAUACUUGAUGGCGACCGGCAAACGGGUGCGGAACACGUACGCAACCUUCCUUUAAGUGGAGAAUAGCCCGGGGAAACCCGGAUUAAUACUCCGUAACAUUAUGAAGUGGCAUCACUUUAUAAUUAUAGAUUUAUCGCUUAAAGAUGGGCGUGCGCCUGAUUAGGCAGUUGGCGGGGUAACGGCCCACCAAACCUACGAUCAGUAACUGGCGUGAGAGCGCGACCAGUCACACGGGCACUGAGACACGGGCCCGACUCCUACGGGAGGCAGCAGUAAGGAAUAUUGGUCAAUGGACGCAAGUCUAGAACCAGCCAUGCCGCGUGGAGGAUGAAGGUCCUCUGGAUUGUAAACUUCUUUUAUUUGGGAAGAAAUGUGAGAAUUCUUUUUCACUUGACGGUACCAGAUGAAUAAGCACCGGCUAACUCCGUGCCAGCCGCCGCGGUAA